This is a long non-coding RNA of Mandrillus leucophaeus (drill), 494 nucleotides long. RefSeq lists it as uncharacterized. The record is from RefSeq and is a predicted model, not a curated record. NCBI's taxonomy places the organism in Eukaryota, Metazoa, Chordata, Mammalia, Primates, Cercopithecidae. The transcript is spliced from 5 exons.
GCUGUGAAAUUGUUCUGUCUUUGAAAAGAAAAAUGUUUGGAUGGCACAAGUCACCACCUCUAGAACCAAAAACUUCAACCUGCUGUGUAUCUGAAGCACCUCGCCCUGACUGGUGAAGCAAAGAAACUGAAUAGAAGACCUGUGUUGAAGGCAUCAGUGGCUAACUAUCAAUAGGGACAACAGCCGUUAUCCCAUAUCCAGUAAGUACAACAGCAUGAAGUCUUGCUGUCUUGCCAGAUGCUAUCAUCAUGCCCUUGGACUUCCCAGCCUCCAGGACUACUUGCUGCAGUUUUACAUCCAGUUCACUGAUCAACUAUCAAACUGAAAGAUAGCUUGUCACUGCAUCUGCAGGGACUCACUUGCCUUGGGGAAAAAUACAUGUCACACAUUUACAUUUUGGCCUUAAAGUGAGGAAACUUUAUGGUUUUCAGAACAGAGUCAGAUCCUUGAAAAUGAAAACAAUAAAUCCAGUGCUGAUGGUGAUCAAUGCUGAA